This 478-nucleotide ribosomal RNA is filed under the name uncultured bacterium. RNAcentral describes it as "partial 16S ribosomal RNA". It matches the Rfam family "Bacterial small subunit ribosomal RNA", at positions 28 to 507 of the family's 1533-position model. The record is from RNAcentral.
GAUGAACGCUGGCGGCGUGCUUAACACAUGCAAGUCGAACGGGAAACCUUUUAAUGCAGCUUCGGCAGAUUUAGCUGGUUUCUAGUGGCGGACGGGUGAGUAACGCGUGGGUAACCUGCCUUAUACAGGGGGAUAACAGUCAGAAAUGACUGCUAAUACCGCAUAAGCGCACAGGACCGCAUGGUCCGGUGUGAAAAACUCCGGUGGUAUAAGAUGGACCCGCGUUGGAUUAGCUUGUUGGUGGGGUAACGGCUCACCAAGGCGACGAUCCAUAGCCGGCCUGAGAGGGUGAACGGCCACAUUGGGACUGAGACACGGCCCAGACUCCUACGGGAGGCAGCAGUGGGGAAUAUUGCACAAUGGGGGAAACCCUGGUGCAGCGACGCCGCGUGAAGGAAGAAGUAUCUCGGUAUGUAAACUUCUAUCAGCAGGGAAGAUAGUGACGGUACCUGACUAAGAAGCCCCGGCUAACUACGUG